Molecule: ribosomal RNA, 510 nt
Filed under: uncultured bacterium
Lineage: Bacteria
Description: bacterial SSU rRNA
Rfam family: Bacterial small subunit ribosomal RNA
Source: RNAcentral
GAUUAUGGCUCAGGAUGAACGCUAGCGACAGGCUUAACACAUGCAAGUCGAGGGGCAGCAUAAAAGUAGCAAUACUUGGUGGCGACCGGCGCACGGGUGAGUAACGCGUAUGCAACCUACCUAUCAGAGGGGAAUAACCCGGCGAAAGUCGGACUAAUACCGCAUAAAACAGGGGCACCGCAUGGUGAUAUUUGUUAAAGAAAUUCGCUGAUAGAUGGGCAUGCGUUCCAUUAGGUAGUUGGUGAGGUAACGGCUCACCAAGCCGACGAUGGAUAGGGGAACUGAGAGGUUGGUCCCCCACACUGGUACUGAGACACGGACCAGACUCCUACGGGAGGCAGCAGUGAGGAAUAUUGGUCAAUGGGCGGGAGCCUGAACCAGCCAAGUCGCGUGAAGGAAGAAGGAUCUAUGGUUCGUAAACUUCUUUUGCAGGGGAAUAAAGUGCAGGACGUGUCCUGUUUUGUAUGUACCCUGAGAAUAAGGAUCGGCUAACUCCGUGCCAGCCGCGGC